UUUCAACAAAAUCGACCCCAAACUGGCCGCAGCGGCCCCAACUGGUUACACUAAAAAAGUCACCGCGCUGAACAGACGUUUCUGUUUGGAGCAAAAAAUCGCGAGCGAUAUCGACGGCGGAGAAAUUGCCAAAAGUUGACAAACAAACACGUUUUAAUCCCACCACGUAGCAAUUAAAAGUAAAAACCAGAGAAAGAAAGUGAAACAUAAACAAAUAAGGUGCUGUAAAAAAAGAAAAGUGAACGGUAAACAAUAAUCCAUCAUUCACCAUUGUGUGUGCAGCAGAGGAGGAGAGAAGAAGAAGAUCAAGCAGCAACAACAGCAGCACGGAGAACAUUUACUGCGCCGCAGCUUUUUACCGUUGUAGUCGGCUCUCAUCAUCCAAAAAAAUUUGAGAACGAACACGAGGACAGUCAUCAAUUAAAAGCAAGGAGC
Non-coding RNA from Drosophila takahashii, 435 nucleotides. NCBI's taxonomy places the organism in Eukaryota, Metazoa, Arthropoda, Insecta, Diptera, Drosophilidae. The record is from RefSeq and is a predicted model, not a curated record.